UACGUAGGGUGCGAGCGUUAAUCGGAAUUACUGGGCGUAAAGCGUGCGCGGGCGGUUAUAUAAGACAGUUGUGAAAUCCCCGGGCUCAACCUGGGAAUUGCAUCUGUGACUGCAUAGCUUGAGUACGGUAGGGGCAGAGGGAAUUUCCGGUGUAGCAGUGAAAUGCGUAGAGAUCGGGAGGAACAUCUGUGGCGAAGGCGGCCACCUGGACCAGUACUGACGCUGAGGCACGAAAGCGUGGGGAGCAAACAGG
This 253-nucleotide ribosomal RNA is filed under the name uncultured bacterium. RNAcentral describes it as "partial 16S ribosomal RNA". It matches the Rfam family "Bacterial small subunit ribosomal RNA", at positions 524 to 776 of the family's 1533-position model. The record is from RNAcentral.